GACGAACGCUGGCGGCGUGCCUAAUACAUGCAAGUAGAACGCUGAAGGAGGAGCUUGCUUCUCUGGAUGAGUUGCGAACGGGUGAGUAACGCGUAGGUAACCUGCCUGGUAGCGGGGGAUAACUAUUGGAAACGAUAGCUAAUACCGCAUAAUAGCAGUUGUUGCAUGACAACUGUUUGAAAGGUGCAAUUGCACCACUACCAGAUGGACCUGCGUUGUAUUAGCUAGUUGGUGGGGUAACGGCUCACCAAGGCGACGAUACAUAGCCGACCUGAGAGGGUGAUCGGCCACACUGGGACUGAGACACGGCCCAGACUCCUACGGGAGGCAGCAGUAGGGAAUCUUCGGCAAUGGACGGAAGUCUGACCGAGCAACGCCGCGUGAGUGAAGAAGGUUUUCGGAUCGUAAAGCUCUGUUGUAAGAGAGGAACGAGGGUGAGAGUGGAAAGUUCACACUGUGACGGUAUCUUACCAGAAAGGGACGGCUAACUACGUG
This 495-nucleotide ribosomal RNA is filed under the name uncultured bacterium. RNAcentral describes it as "partial 16S ribosomal RNA". It matches the Rfam family "Bacterial small subunit ribosomal RNA", at positions 28 to 507 of the family's 1533-position model. The record is from RNAcentral.